AAAUAAAUACAUCUAGUCAUAAAAGUUAAAACUUAAAACGCACGAAAUUAGAAAUAAAGUAAUUUUUGGAAGCUAAAAAAGAAAGGGUUCAGUUUUCCUUUUGGACGCGACGGUUUGUCAUUUAAGACGAGGAAGGUAGCGGCGGACGGGGAGUACAACAAACGCAGAGAAUGGCGGAGGAUGGCGGAGUAGCCACAAUAACUGGAAGGAAUGAACACGAAGAAAGAGAAGACGAAAGAGAAACACCGAAAGAGAAGAAAGAGAUGUCUCCAUGGGAGCAGCACUCGGCGGUGAUUAAGCUUCCCCGGUUCGACUACAACGCCCCCUCCUCUCUCCUUCAUGGCUCCCAUUCGGGCUUUCUUAUCACUUGUACUAUCAAACGGGAGAAAAGCGCUACCAAGGAAGCAAUCUCUAUACUCCACAAGUUUGCCAGGCCCUUCAGCAAGGGUUCUUAUAACAGUUUGAACAACCUUGAAGAUGAUAAUGCUUCUAAGAAAAGAAGGGUAUGCACAGAAGAUGAUGCUGAGGAGUGUUUGGACAACAAGGAAAAGGAAACAGCCUCUGCCACUGCUAACUCUGGAGAUGGUAUUGAGUGUAAGCUUUUAAGCGGGAGCGGUAAUAGAGCAGAGACAGACGCCGAAGGAGUUCCUGGUCUUUCCCUGGUUAAGCUUACAAGGAGUGGUUUGCUUCUCUUUACAUUUCCGGAGGACGCAUUGCCGGACACUGUUGAUAUUGUGUCAAAUAUCAUUCAAGCUUAUGAAUCAGGGAGUGUUAAAUCACCAGCCUGGUGCCAUCGCAUUUUCCCAAUCCAGGCUACCUGUGGUUUAAAUGAAAAAGAGCUGCAAGAAGUAGUAUCAAUGCUAGUUAAAAAGUUUGUGGAUGAUAAACAGAACAUACUUGAACAACCUGUAAAGUUUGCUGUUGGGUACAACCGAAGAGGAAUUGAAGAGACGAAGUCUGUGAAAGAAAAAUCAAAGGAUUCCGAUGCAUUCAGUUUGCUAGACCGCAAUAAGUGCUUUGGCAUAGUGGCUUCUGCAGUCAAUGGUGUGGUGGGAGAUUCAGUAGUUGACCUCAGGACUCCAGAGCUGUGUGUUCUUGUCGAAGUGCUCCCCAUUUCCGGAGUGCCAAAUGGGUCGAUAGUGGUUGCUGUCUCUGUCCUCCCUAGGAACCUUGUUAGUACGAAGCCUCGGCUCUGCGUCAGGGCCUUGAAUUCAAAUACAAAGGAAGGGUCUAUGGCUGAAUGAGAAGUCCCGGUGAUUCUUUCAGAUGGCUUAUGCUGGAAUACAUGGCGCAUCCCUUAUGACUCUUUGAUACAACUAAAAGUAGCCCCUCUCAAACUCGGCUGAAGAGAGUACAACCAGAAGAAUCAUGAGAAGGUAAAACAAGAAGAAGAUGAACAAGAAAAGAAGAUAAUAAUGAAGAAGAAUGAGGAGGAGAUGUUUUGAGUUAUGCAGAAUACUAGCUAGAUUUAAAAUUUACAUGCAUGUGUUUUUGUGAUUGAUUGAAUCUUGUUUGUGUGCUUGUUGUGAACUGAGUUUGUUUGUGAAUCAUCAUCAUUAAGUAAUUUCGGUACAUUUUGGAUUUAAAUAAGGUGCAUUUGGUCUCAUUGAAUUGGAUUUGAUGUAAUUAGUUCAUGUAAGUUAAUUGUAGUAUUUCUGGUGUCAUUUAAGCCAUAUUGUUGACUUUUUUGGAUUUAAAAUUUACAUGCAUGUAUUUUUGUGGAUGAUUGAAUCUAGUUUGUGUGUUUGUUUUAAGUUGAAUUUGCUUGUGUAUCAUCAUUAUUAAGUAAUUUCGGUGCAUUAUGGAUUUAAAUAAGUUGCACUUGGUCUUUUUUUUUUUACUGAGUUUGUUUGUGUGUCGUCGUCAUUAAGUAAUUUCGGUGCAUUCUGAAUUUAAAUAAGGUGCGCUUGGUUUCAUUGAUUUAGAUUUGGUUAAUUAGUUCAUGCAAGAUAAUUGUAGUACUUCUGGUGUCAUUACUGAUAACUUUUUUGGAUUUAAAAUUUACAUGCAUGUAUUUUUGUGGAUGAUUGAAUCUAGUUUGUGUACUUAUUUUGAACUGAGUUUGCUUGUAUGU
Molecule: non-coding RNA, 2074 nt
Organism: Arachis ipaensis
Lineage: Eukaryota; Viridiplantae; Streptophyta; Magnoliopsida; Fabales; Fabaceae
Source: RefSeq, a predicted model, not a curated record